Molecule: transfer RNA, 73 nt
Filed under: Aquificaceae bacterium
Lineage: Bacteria; Pseudomonadati; Aquificota; Aquificia; Aquificales; Aquificaceae
Also listed under: 1 other name
Description: tRNA-Lys
Rfam family: tRNA
About the family: Transfer RNA (tRNA) molecules are approximately 80 nucleotides in length.
Source: RNAcentral
GAGCCGGUAGCUCAGCUGGCAGAGCAACGGACUUUUAAUCCGUGGGUCGAGGGUUCGAAUCCCUCCCGGCUCA